AAACAGUUUUAUCUGGCUGCAGCCAGUCUCAGAGGGCACAGCUUUUGCUGUAAUCAAUCAAUCAAUCCCCUGAACCCUGAGUUCAGGUGGGUUUAGGAUUUUAUACUCAUCAUGUAAGAGGAGGGGCUCAGAAGUUCACAUUGUAAUACUGAGACUCUCAAAUAACUCUCAGACCACACAGUCUCAUUCCAGUUAAGCCUUUAUUGCUGGCUCUUGGCAGACACUCUGCUCUCAAAAGAGUGAGAUGGUCGGAGUGGUGCCCCUGCCUUCAGUUGGCUCCAUAUUUAAGCACAAAAACCACAAAAGGGACAUUUGGGGUUCAGGCAAUGCAAACAAGGCUGAAAGUUGCAGUCAGUCAGUCUCCAGUUGGCACCAUAGAUCAUUCUGUGUUCUUGGGGGAUUUUCAUGAAUACAAACUGCCCCAGUCAUGACUUUUUUGUGUGUCCUGGCUAAGUUCACAAAAUGGAGUCGCCAUAGUCAAGUUGUCACAUCACACAUAUAAAAACAGCUUUUUCUUUCUCUGUUCUGACCAAGUUAACCCUUCAAGGACAGCACCUGAGAAGGGGAGAGCUUCUUCUCCCCUUUCUUCCCUCCCCCACCAGCUGUUUCCAUGAAGCCUAGUUGGUAAGUUCUCUGUGAAGCCCAGCUGAAGGCCAGAGGCCUUGUUUGCACAUUUCUACAAACUACUAUACUGGAUGCAAGUGUGUAAAAAACUAGUAAGGGGAGUUUGAGUCCAGCACUUGGAGUGCUAAUUUCUUUCAGACUAGUGGCCCAGAAAUUAGGGCAACACAAAAAUAGGAAGUUUGUCUACACUGAACUUUUUUGUGGACACUGUUUUGUUGACAGUCC
This 849-nucleotide long non-coding RNA is filed under the name Marmota monax (woodchuck). The record is from RNAcentral. Lineage: Eukaryota; Metazoa; Chordata; Mammalia; Rodentia; Sciuridae.